Molecule: long non-coding RNA, 888 nt
Filed under: Olea europaea (common olive)
Lineage: Eukaryota; Viridiplantae; Streptophyta; Magnoliopsida; Lamiales; Oleaceae
Description: long non-coding RNA (OEUR_LNC014355)
Source: RNAcentral
UAAAACAUCGCCGAGUACAACUUCAAUAGGUAACUUAUAUUAUAAAUUUUUCUUAUUUUAUAUAAAUUUUAUUCGUACAUUAAAUUUUUUAAAUUUUUAGCCCAUCGUAACAGUAAUUCCUGGCUCCGCCCCUGCCUACUUUCAUUCUUCCCAACAAAUUUCAAGCCAAAUUCUUCCAAAAUGCUAACCAUCUCUAGGUUCACCUGCAAGAAUUGAUGAGGAAAUAUGUAGCGUUUGAGAUAAGAAAAAGUCUAUGAAAUAGUGACUUUGUUAAGUAAUAUUAAUUAAUAUCGUGGGAUCAAACAGAUUCUACUUGUAGAAUACAAAAUCCCAUGACGUGUCAAAGCCAAAAGUGGUGGUCCGCUGCAGAAAUCAGUAAACAUAUACACAACAGGGAGAAAUUGAACAAAAAAUACACAAAAAGAACAUGAAAACAACAGACGUUAGGUAUUUUGGUUUCGACCUCUCAAAAGAAGGGCAAAAAGGGAACAAAAUUAUAGAUUGAAGAAACAUAUACACAACAACCUAAACCUAACCACCCCUUAAAACAUGACUUUACUUAUUUUGGGUUCAACCUCUUCAAAGAUCGAACUAAAAAAAUGAAAACUCAGAAUAGAUUGAACAACACAACUUAAUAAACCAGAAGCAAUAUACAGAAGAUGAAGAAAUCGAAGCAUCAAAGAUUAUACUUACAUGUGAGUGUCCCAAACAAACUGCCUCAUUUUUUCUGGAAUUUCUUGCUAUGGUUGUGAUUGUCGCGAGAGAGAUAGAGAGAGAGAGAGAGAGAGUGCAGCUAGGGUUAAGAGACAAAGAAAAUAGGCAAUCGAGAGUCGAGUCCUGUGUUUUGUCCCUUUUUUACCCAAACGACGCCGUUUAGGCCGAAUUGGA